Molecule: ribosomal RNA, 2863 nt
Filed under: Halorubrum sp. GN11GM_10-3_MGM
Lineage: Archaea; Methanobacteriati; Methanobacteriota; Halobacteria; Halobacteriales; Haloferacaceae
Description: 23S ribosomal RNA
Rfam family: Archaeal large subunit ribosomal RNA
Source: RNAcentral
GCUACUGUGCCAGCUGGUGAAUGGCUCGGCUCGAGAGCCGACGACGGACGUGCCAAGCUGCGAAAAGCUCGUGGGACCCGCAUGGAGGGAAAGAACACGAGAUCUCCCAAUCGGAAUCCGUUCAACAAUUGCCACGCGCAAUAGGGAACGCCCUGAAUUGAAACAUCUCAGUAAGGGCAGGAAAAGAACGCAACAGCGAUGUCGUCAGUAACCGCGAGUAAACGCGACACAGCCCAAACCGAAGGUCUUCGGACCAAUGUGGUGUUCGGGUUGACAAUCAAAACGCGACACUCUCUCAGAAGUCUCCUGGAACGGAGCGUGAAACAGGGUGACAACCCCGUAUGAGAGAACAGUACCGUUGGCGUCAAAUCCAGAGUAGCAGGGGUCGGAUAUCCUCUGUGAACAUCUCAGGCAUCCCCUGAGAAGGCUAAACACUCCUCGAGACCGAUAGCGAACAAGUAGCGUGAGCGAACGCUGAAAAGCACCCCGAGAAGGGCGGUGCAAUAGGGCCUGAAAUCAGCUGGCGAUCGAGCGACAGGGCGUACAAGGCGAUUCUCAAAACGACCGAGGAGCGAUCCUCCAGUAGGAAGAGAAUCGAGCCGGCGUCGUGUCGUGCGUUUUGAAAAACGACCCAGGGAGUGCACUUGAUUGGCGAGUCUAACCCGUGAACCGGGGAAGGCGCAGGGAAACCGAUACGGCCGCAGCAUUGCGAGGGCCACCGUGUUCAAGCGCGGGGAGUCAAUUGGGUGCGACCCGAAACCAGGCGAUCUACGCGCGAGCAAGGUGAAGCGUGGCGAAAGCCACGUGGAGGCCUGUUAGAGUUGGUGUUCUACAAUACCCUCUCGUGACUCGUGUGUAGGGGUGAAAGGCCCAUCGAGCCUGGCAACAGCUGGUUCCAACCGAAACAUGUCGAAGCAUGACCUCAUCAGAGGUAGCCCGCGGGGUAGAGCUACCGAUUGGAUGACCCGCCUCCGAGAGGAGUCGGCCAUCCUGUCGAACUCCAAACCCGCAGGCGCCGUAGACGAUGGGAGUCCGGUGCGCGGGGUAAGCCUGUGUACCGUGAGGGGAACAACCCAGAGCCGGGUUAAGGUCCCAAAGUGUAGAUUAAGUGCGAUUCGAAGGUGGUCUCAAGCCCUAAACAGCCGGGAGGUGAGCUUAGAAGCAGCUACCCGCUAAGAAAAGCGUAACAGCUUACCGGCCGAGGUUUGAGGCGCCCAAAAUGAUCGGGGCUCAAAUCUACCACCGAGACCUGGCCGUGCCCUUGACAGGGGCAACCGCGUAGGUUGGCGUACUGGUCGGACGGAAGCCCGGGCGAGAGCUCGUGUGGACCGUCCAGUAACGACAAUCCUGGUCACAGUAGCAGCGAUAGUCGGGUGAGAACCUCGACGGCCUGAAGAGCAAGGGUUCCUCGGCACUGCCGUUCAGCCGAGGGUUAGCCGGUCCUAAGGUGUACCACAACCUGACUACACCGACGGGAAGCUGGUUAAUAUUCCAGCGCCAUCGUGCAGUAAACGCCGACGCCGUGUGGAACGCUGAGCCGGGCAUUCGCCCGGUCGAAUCGUGGAACCUCGUGGACGCCGUCACGGCACGAAGCGAGAGAAGCGCGAAACAGCGAAAGUCAGCCGUACACAGGGCCCGUGAAAAGGCAAGCACGAUGUCCGUACCGAGAUCCGACACAGGUGCUCUGCCAGCGCAAGGCAAGGCCUGUCGGGAGAACCGACGUUAGGGAAUUCGGCAAGUUAGUCCCGUACCUUCGGAAGAAGGGAUGCCUGCUCUCUGAGGAGCAGGUCGCAGUGACUCGGGCGCUCCGACUGUCUAGUAACAACACAGGUGACCGCAAAUCCGCAAGGACUCGUACGGUCACUGAAUCCUGCCCAGUGCGGGUAUCUGAACACCUCGUACAAGAGGACGAAGGACCCGUCAACGGCGGGGGUAACUAUGACCCUCUUAAGGUAGCGUAGUACCUUGCCGCUUCAGUAGCGGCUUGCAUGAAUGGAUAAACGAGAGCGCCACUGUCCCAACGUUGGACCCGGUGAACUGUACGUUCCAGUGCGGAGUCUGGAGACCCCCAAGGGGAAGCGAAGACCCUAUAGAGCUUUACUGCAGGCUGUCGCUGAGACGUGGUCGCCGAUGUGCAGCAUAGGUAGGAGACGCUACACAGGUACGUGCGCUAGCACGCCACCGAGUCAACACUGAAAUACUACCCGUCGGUGACUGCGACUCUCACUCCGGGAGGAGUACACCGGUAGCCGGGCAGUUUGACUGGGGCGGUACGCGCUCGAAAAGAUAUCGAGCGCGCCCGAAGAUCAUCUCAGCCGGGUCAGGAAUCCGGCGAAGAGCGCAAGAGCAAAAGAUGGUCUGACAGUGUUCUUCCCAACGAGGAACGCUGACGCGAAAGCGUGGUCUAGCGAACCUACGAGGUUCCGGAAUGGGACCCGUAGAUGACAGAAAAGCUACCUUAGGGAUAACAGAGUCGUCACUCGCAAGAGCACAUAUCGACCGAGUGGCUUGCUACCUCGAUGUCGGUUCCCUCCAUCCUGCCCGUGCAGACGCGGGCAAGGGUGAGGUUGUUCGCCUAUUAAAGGAGGUCGUGAGCUGGGUUUAGACCGUCGUGAGACAGGUCGGCUGCUAUCUAUUGGGGGUGUGAGGUACCUGACGUGAACGAACGUAUAGUACGAGAGGAACUACGUUUGGUCGCCACUGGUGUAUCGGUUGUCCGGAAGGGCAGAUGCCGAGUAGCCACGCGACACGGGGUAAGAGCUGAACGCAUCUAAGCUCGAAACCCACAUGGAAAAGAGGUACCGUUGAGGUCACUCGUAGAAGACGAGUUCGAUAGACUCGGGGUGUACGCACCGAGGCAACG